RNAcentral lists this ribosomal RNA (247 nucleotides) under uncultured bacterium. RNAcentral describes it as "partial 16S ribosomal RNA". It matches the Rfam family "Bacterial small subunit ribosomal RNA", at positions 524 to 769 of the family's 1533-position model. The record is from RNAcentral.
UACGUAGGGUGCAAGCGUUAUCCGGAAUUAUUGGGCGUAAAGAGCUCGUAGGCGGUUUGUCGCGUCUGCUGUGAAAACUGGAGGCUCAACCUCCAGCCUGCAGUGGGUACGGGCAAACUAGAGUGCGGUAGGGGAGACUGGAAUUCCUGGUGUAGCCGGUGAAAUGCGCAGAUAUCAGGAGGAACACCGAUGGCGAAGGGCAGGUCUCUGGGCCACUACUGACGCUGAGAAGCGAAAGCAUGGGAGC